This 584-nucleotide long non-coding RNA is filed under the name Brassica rapa (field mustard). Its description in RNAcentral is "long non-coding RNA (BRAP_LNC005918)". Lineage: Eukaryota; Viridiplantae; Streptophyta; Magnoliopsida; Brassicales; Brassicaceae. The record is from RNAcentral.
AAAUUUGCCCACAAACAACACCUCAUAAUUAAGAUUAGUAUAAUACUAUUGAUCCUUUUGCAACAUCAAUUUUAGAGAUUCUCUUAUUCUACAAUACUAGAGAUUUUUUUCCGCGCUUCACGCGGAUUGUGUCUUAUAAAUUUAUUUUAUUUAUAAUAAUAUUUGUCAGUCUUUUUCUUUUACAUUAACUUCUUGUUUUUUCAAUAUUAGUUUUUUUAAUUUUAAUUUAUAUGUUUAUAAUUUUUUAUUUUUCUUGUUGUAGAUGGAGAAUUAUAUUUUUUAUUGAUGGUUUUUUGUAUGUGACAUAAACUUUUUAAAAUUUUAAAAUAAUAUUAUAUAUAGUACGAUUAACACAUUAAAGAAGAGAAACAUAUUCAUGCACAUUUUACACAGGAUUUAUAUGCAUAAUUUUAAACAUUAUAUAUGUAUAUUUUAUAAGUUUGAAACAUGUAAAUGCUUUCUAAAGCUAAAUACUUGUUCUGAGUUUACAUAACUUAUCGAAAGUUUUAUCUCUUUUUAAAUUCAAAUCACAGAAAAAAUAUCAAAAAGUCAGUAUAGAUGGGUUUUUGGGCUUUUAAAUCAAC